Bos taurus (domestic cattle) is the source of this 72-nucleotide non-coding RNA. Lineage: Eukaryota; Metazoa; Chordata; Mammalia; Artiodactyla; Bovidae. The record is from Rfam.
GGGGAUGUAGCUCAGUGCUAGAGCGCAUGCUUUGCAUGCAUGAGGUCCCAGGUUCAAUCCUUGGCAUCUCCA